This 743-nucleotide ribosomal RNA is filed under the name uncultured bacterium. RNAcentral describes it as "bacterial SSU rRNA". It matches the Rfam family "Bacterial small subunit ribosomal RNA", at positions 94 to 823 of the family's 1533-position model. The record is from RNAcentral.
AGUGGCGGACGGGUGAGUAACACGUAGGUAACCUGCCCCGGAGCGGGGGAUAACAUUUGGAAACAGAUGCUAAUACCGCAUAACAACAAGAGCCACAUGGCUUUUGUUUGAAAGAUGGCUUUGGCUAUCACUCUGUGAUGGACCUGCGGUGCAUUAGCUAGUUGGUAAGGUAACGGCUUACCAAGGCGAUGAUGCAUAGCCGAGUUGAGAGACUGAUCGGCCACAAUGGAACUGAGACACGGUCCAUGCUCCUACGGGAGGCAGCAGUAGGGAAUCUUCCACAAUGGGCGCAAGCCUGAUGGAGCAACACCGCGUGAGUGAAGAAGGGUUUCGGCUCGUAAAGCUCUGUUGUUGGAGAAGAACGUGCGUGAGAGUAACUGUUCACGCAGUGACGGUAUCCAACCAGAAAGUCACGGCUAACUACGUGCCAGCAGCCGCGGUAAUACGUAGGUGGCAAGCGUUAUCCGGAUUUAUUGGGCGUAAAGCGAGCGCAGGCGGUUGCUUAGGUCUGAUGUGAAAGCCUUCGGCUUAACCGAAGAAGUGCAUCGGAAACCGGGCAACUUGAGUGCAGAAGGGGACAGUGGAACUCCAUGUGUAGCGGUGGAAUGCGUAGAUAUGUGGAAGAACACCAGUGGCGAAGGCGGCUGUCUGGUCUGCAACUGACGCUGAGGCUCGAAAGCAUGGGUAGCGAACAGGAUUAGAUACCCUGGUAGUCCAUGCCGUAAACGAUGAGUGCUAGGUGU